Long non-coding RNA from Nymphaea colorata (pocket water lily), 1168 nucleotides. RefSeq lists it as uncharacterized. The record is from RefSeq and is a predicted model, not a curated record. Lineage: Eukaryota; Viridiplantae; Streptophyta; Magnoliopsida; Nymphaeales; Nymphaeaceae. The transcript is spliced from 5 exons.
UGAAGACGAGGAGAUGAGGAAGAGGAAGGGAAGGGCUAUCGUCUCAUGCUCCUCCUUAAUUGCGUCGUUCUCUCCAUCAACGGGGACCCAAGGUUUUCCUCCAGCGGCGCUACUGCUUUCGAGGUGCAGAGCCCUGCGCAUGGAGGGAGGAUGGUCUUCCCUGUGCGGUCGAAUCGGGCCAAGGUCAUCUUGGAAGGAGAAUGGCGCUUUCCGGAUUCAUCCAGCACACUCAUGUCUUGGCCGCCUUGCUUCUCUGUUUCAUACCCUGCGGAUUCUUGAUCUCGAUAAUGAUCUAUUUCGUUCUUGAGUAUUGGAUGCCGAAUUUCGAUGAUCAGUGACCUUCUUGAGACAACUCAUUGAUAGCCAUUUUCCUCCCUACAUAUCGUUGAUCUCGAAGGAUGAAUCGUCCUUCCCGAACUUAUAGCUUUUCCCUUCUUGUAUCCUAUCAGUGAUCUCUUGGUUUCUUUGCUGCCACUGGAUGGAUGAUUUCGUUGCUCAAUGAUGUUCUCACAUGACUUGUCUGAUGUUGUGAGGCUUGCGGAUGAUGAUUAUCUCAUGGCAUAGUUUCGAUCUAGCCCUAUGAGUCGAAUUUGGGGGGCUCGUGUGUGUUCUUUCUACACAUGGGCUCACGCGAUCCAAGGAGGUAAAAUCUCAUCUGCGACUUGAUCUGGAUAUUCUUAUGUAUAUCCAACAUUUGUAUCCGAGCACGAUUUCUUGUUUGGUGCAACUGGCCUUUUCCAAGCUAUCAUAGGUUAUCUGAAAGAAUCUUACCGCUCGGGAGAUGUAAAACAAAGCAUCCGGCCCAGAUUAUCUAGUGUUGUAUUUGUUCAAGGAUAAGACUCCUUGAACUCAAAGUGCCUUCACCAUACUCUUGUAUCGAUCUCUCCUGCUAAGAGCCACAGUACGUAAGAUUUGAACCAAUACCAUCUACAGGAUAUGGCCCCUCUCAAACUGUUAGUGCUAUCUCAAAGAAUCAUCACCUGGUCACCGACUUACAAGUUGAAGCAUAGUAAGGGCAGCAUCUCAAGGCACCAAUACAAGCCUUGUAUCUUAUGGGAUGAGAGGUUGGGUGAGUGACUUCAGCCUUUUUUCUUUUUUUUUUACUUUUGGAUGGUUAUUUUAAAAGGGUUAUGUUAGAACUCAUUAUUGCUUAAGUCUAGCAGGUAGG